Non-coding RNA from Electrophorus electricus (electric eel), 2186 nucleotides. Lineage: Eukaryota; Metazoa; Chordata; Actinopteri; Gymnotiformes; Gymnotidae. The record is from RefSeq and is a predicted model, not a curated record.
CUGGCAUAUUACAUUUUUUUUCUUUUCUUUAUUCUCACAGUUGGAUUGUGUCUUGAUCAUCACCAUUACUGAUGACUGGAAUUACUGAACUAUUCAGAUUUCAUGUCUUUUUGAACGAGUCUGGUUUGUGCUGGUGUUUCGGUUUGUAUUGUACCUUGAAGUGCUGCCUAAACAUAAGGUAUGAGCAGGUGAUGUUUGCAUCUCUUGAACUUUUUAUUGCCAAUAUCUGAACACUUUUGCAGAUCUUGUGUAUGUUUUGUACUUUUUGUUCUUUUCCCGAAAUGCAACUAGCCUAACACAACUAAUGGUUUGUCAAGAGAGACAAAGAGAGAGUCGCGCCAGCUGUUUUAACUGAACUAAGCUGUUCACUUCAGACUCCUUAUGCUGGAUUCAUAGAAAGAAGGCAGGGUGGGCCUCAUCAUCAUCAGGAACGUGAUGCUGACCCAGCGGAGCUCCCGAGAGGACGCAUCUCAAACAGUGAGCCAAUAACAGAGGCUGGAGAGGCAAGGGGACCACUCUAGAUCCUGUGGCAAGCAGACGUUCUCUAUUGGAACAUCUCCAUUGUCCUCUGACACACAUGUUCGGUAUUUACCAACAGAGGGAGAGGCGGAGGCGAGAGUCAGAGGAUGGAAUGGGUGGUGAGCUCUGUGAACCACAGUGAAAAAAAAACGUAGUGGAACAUAUGAAUGAAACCAGAUUUCCAGUAGGUUAGCUGGAUUAAGGCCAAACACUCGCAGACGGACACACUCCUACUUGGUGGUUUUCCUGUUUAUGUGGACUGGGCAUACCGUUGCCAGAGCCAGGACUCGCACAUCCUGUCUCCUCUCAUUCUCUUCAGCAGGUUUCUUGACAUCUGUUUGAAAUGUUGACUCCCAUACUUUCAUCUCUCCUUUAUAAAUAACUCUCAUUCUCUGUCUUUCACUGUUUGUGUGUGCAUCCGACUCUUUGUAUCCCUUGCUCACAAUAUUUAAUAACUGAAACGUUUUUGAGGUGUGGUCGAAAAAUUUCUUGUGGGUUGGCUGGCCUUACAGGUGUCUUUUUGAGAGUGCAGAUUUGAGUCACUUGAAAGGAAAGUGGGUCUGCUCUCUGACUCAGUUAAAUUCCAUUCUGUUCCCAAACUCAUGUCAGUAUUCUUCAUGCAAAUGAGUUUCUCAGAUAGAGGGCACUGUCAGUUGCUUACUUCUAACUAUAACAGCUGGUCCUACUAAUAUUUGUUUGCUCCAUCAUAUGCUCUCUACCCUAAACAGUAAGAGUUUAUGUGCUGGCAGUGCAAUAUCAGCACAUAUUCUCUUACAGUGUAGGGAGGGGAGACUCCAUCUCCCAGUGGCAGUACACAUGCUAAAAAAGGCACUGUUUUAAAUCUGGCUCUGUUUGUCUUUGGAAAGGAAUGUGAUAAAUUCAUGAGUCAGCAAAGGCUCAUUUUAGGCAGAUUUUUUUAACUUUAUUAUUUCUUUAACAGACAUGUCAAAUCCAUGAAAUGUUAAGUUGCCUGUAAAAGAACUUUCAUUGGAAACUGGGCCUGGUCCCCAAAUGUGUAGCAAAAAGUUGAUAUGGUUACAAGAAUGAAACAAGGGUUAGGAUAAUCACAACACUGAUGCUUUUGGUAGUUCUAACAAUUUACUUUCACAAACCUCAUUACAUUGAAAUCUGCAGAUAUAUUCUUUCACCUCCAGAGGGCAGUAUGUUACCACAUAACACUGAGACACCUGCUGUAUAACUUGUUUUCCCAUGAUCUGGGGCAUGUCCUGGAAGAUAGAGGGGGAAAUUAUAGGGUGUAUCAUCCAAAGCAUUUUCUAAAGAUUGAUUUUUUAAAAAAAUAAAUAAUAGAAUGCUUUUUUUCUUGGUAUUCCUCUCAAAGUUUUGUCAUAUUAAUGACAACAAUCACUUCAUUUUCACUAUCACACAUUUUCUUUCAUGAGAUUUUUCUUUCUUUCUUCAGUGGCAGGUGUGUUAUAUGCUGAAAUACACUUAACUGUGUUACCACUUUAAUCAGGUUGUUACAGGAGUUAUAGCCAGACAGACAGACUCAUUAGCAUUGUUUCAGUGUAACACAGAACUGUUAUUGUCCUCACUGCAAUGAAUUCCUCCAACGGAGAUGUUCCUGCUUCAUCAGGUAGUAUGUAAGAUCUGCUGCAUACUCAGUGAUAUGUUACACAGAAAAAUAAAAAAUGAAAAAUUAAUGGACA